Long non-coding RNA from Solanum dulcamara, 355 nucleotides. RefSeq lists it as uncharacterized. The transcript has 3 exons. The record is from RefSeq and is a predicted model, not a curated record. Lineage: Eukaryota; Viridiplantae; Streptophyta; Magnoliopsida; Solanales; Solanaceae.
GAAAGGCAACAAAGAGCAGCUUUCACUUGAUCUUGAAGUUGAUCUUUGGAAUGCGAAGGGAUGGUUCACAAAGUUAUACACUGUUGGUGAUGGAUUGAGCAACACAGGACUGUGUUGCAUUCGUAGCAACCUUUGCUGAGUAUUUCAUAAUGGAAAAAUCUUUUCCAGCUCCAAAAAAGGUUUUGAUGGCCAAAUGAUUCAUUCAAGAUAUGCAAUUUAUUAUGGGAGUAUACAAUGGCCAAAAAAAAUUUAGGUGGUGCAAUUAGUGAAUCGGAGAUAACUAGCAGAAUUUAUGAUCGAAAUGAUUAAGAAAAAAAUGAUGAAAAGAUCAAAAAGAGAAAGAAAAAGUAGAAAA